This 206-nucleotide ribosomal RNA is filed under the name uncultured bacterium. RNAcentral describes it as "partial 16S ribosomal RNA". It matches the Rfam family "Bacterial small subunit ribosomal RNA", at positions 1295 to 1500 of the family's 1533-position model. The record is from RNAcentral.
AGAUUGCAGGCUGCAACUCGCCUGCAUGAAGCCGGAAUUGCUAGUAAUCGUAGGUCAGCAUACUACGGUGAAUACGUUCCCGGGCCUUGUACACACCGCCCGUCAAACCAUGAGAGUUGGCAACACCCGAAGUCGGUAGUCUAACCGCAAGGAGGACGCCGCCGAAGGUGGGGUUGAUGAUUAGGGUUAAGUCGUAACAAGGUAGC